Tripterygium wilfordii is the source of this 1812-nucleotide long non-coding RNA. RefSeq lists it as uncharacterized. The transcript has 5 exons. NCBI's taxonomy places the organism in Eukaryota, Viridiplantae, Streptophyta, Magnoliopsida, Celastrales, Celastraceae. The record is from RefSeq and is a predicted model, not a curated record.
UAACUUCCCGCUAAUAUACUUCCUAAACCCACCAACUAUCCUGGACAGGUGGCACCACAACCACCUUUGGAUGAAGACCCCAUACAGUAUGCGUGUCAACAUCCUAUAUACUGGAUCCUAUCAUAUUCGAGCGAUACGGUCUUGAUCCUAAUGACUACUUACCGGAGACUUCUCCUAAGGUUCUCACUUUUGCUCUCUCUUUGUGGGUGGGACGGUGGUCGCUGCGUACAUAGUAUGUCUGUUUCCUUGCUAGUAUGUUAAACUUAGAAAGAAAUUCAAUGGCACUCAAGAAUGAGAAGUUAGAAACUUUGGAUUAAUUGGAGGUGAAUGUUUUACAGUUACAAAUGGUAAAAGUUUGAGGCAUUUUGUAUUUCUAAUGCCCACACAGAGGUUAUUUCUAACAAAACCGAGGAAGACAAAAACCAAUUUUUUUUAUGCAUAUUCAUAUCAAAAAAUUAGCCUAAUUAUUCCGAUUACUGUGUCUUGUUGGUGCUAUUUACUUAUUCGUAUCCUAUGCUAUUGGGUUUACAAAUUAUGAAUCCUUUCAAUGAUAAUAUUCCCUGCAUUCUUUAGUGAAUAUUUAAUUGUGACUCAUUUAAAGUGAUUUUGCCUUUUGAUUUGAUUUAAUAGACAAGGAGCAGAAGUGAAAGCAAACGACCAGAGAGCAAAUUAAGAUAUAUCUUGCAGAAUCCUAAUGGCUUCCUACUUUACCUAGCACAUUUGGCCUUGUCUUUAUUUCUGAUCAAGCUGUUUAAUAAUUGGAUAUUAAUGUAAGGAUGCUGUUUCAUUGGUCUACAAAGUUUAUGGCCGUCAAAUGGCAUGACCCCUUUCACUUGGUGAAUUAUAAGAAAUGUUGAAAAACCAUACAUAGGUUUAUUUUUCUCUUCACCAAUUUAAAUUUUACUUUUGUUUUAUUUUAAUCUAAGGAAUUGUUUUCCCAUCCAAAAGAAUUUAAUUCCACCAAUAGUAUAUUGAACAUUGUAGGUGCUUGGAGGAAAGGCUAAAAGCAAGAAGUUGUUGUCACUGAAAGGCAUGAAUGUGCGACCAAUGAUGGAAGUUGCAAAAGGUGCAGCAUUUGACAUCUUGCAGGCAUUAGGCAGCUGGUGGGGGUCCUGCAUCUGUAAGGCCUGGUCUGGUUAGACUUGUAUAGUGGAACAGGUUCUGUCGGUAUAGCAGCUAGCAGCCGAGGAUGUUCUGAGGUGCAUUUUGUUGAGAUGGAUCCCUGGGUUGUUUCAAAUGUUCUACGACAAAAUCUGGAGUGGAAUGUGUUUCAUAAUGUUUCAGUUAUACAUACUAUCUCUGUUGAAUGUUUUUUAGAGCGUGCAGACCAAUUUGUAGGUCGUGGAGUAUCCUUUAAGAACUGAUAUGUCAGAUUCAUGCGGUUGUCUUGAAAAGGUUGGUGCCAGCCAGUAUGAACUUUGGCAUUGAACUUCCCAGAAUCAUGUGCUCUCACUCAGGGAUGCAUACAAAAGAUCGGUGAUUUGGUCGUACUCAUUUGGCAAUAUAUGGACCCAAGUGGGCCCAGAAGAAUAGAAUGGGAAAAGCCUCUUAAAAUGGUAGCAGAAAGUUUGCAUACUCAUGUGAUUGGAAGGAAGUGACACCUUUUUUCAUGGAUGCUGUCACAUCUCCAAGUUCUAUUAAUAGGUGUUGAAAUAACCACCCCUAACUUUUGGACAUGCAACAUAAGUACUAAGAGAUCUUGUUGGUAAUUUUUUGUUAUCAUAAUCAUUGUAUCUGCAAAUUUUGUAAUGAUACGGUCCAAUUGGUAUGUAUUAUCUGCAUCUUGAAAAAGUAUUGUGCUUAAAUUUCUAA